Long non-coding RNA from Cylas formicarius (sweet potato weevil), 1191 nucleotides. RefSeq lists it as uncharacterized. NCBI's taxonomy places the organism in Eukaryota, Metazoa, Arthropoda, Insecta, Coleoptera, Brentidae. The transcript has 3 exons. The record is from RefSeq and is a predicted model, not a curated record.
UAAUACUAUUCACUAAAUUGAACUACCAACCACAUAACUUGUUUUUAUUUCCCUUUUACACGUAGCUGUGCUUGACGCUAUCCUCCUUGGGAUUGUUUAUAACUUAUUUUUGUGCAACUGAAAUUUAUUUUUCACUAAAUUUUUAAUUAUCUGGCUCGAUCUGGGAUGUUCUGUUGUUAAACUGUAGAAUCCAGUCAAUUGUCAAUUAGAACAAAUGUGAACGUUUUGGAUACCUAUAUUUCGAUUUAAAAUAUUUUAGAGGAGUACAUAGAAAUGCAACCUGCAUCUUGGACCAUAGAAUUGAGGUUUAAGGUUUAAGCCUGUUUUGACGUCGGUAUUUGUCUCCUUUUGGUAAAAUUGGUCGCAUUCAGCGGACGUAGCAAAGCGGUCCCAAUACGUACCGGUACCGAUGGCGAUUGGGAGCGUGUUGGACAUUUGAAUUUACAUAGUCGUGGCAGAAACGUCCGAUGCAUCAUGCACUACAAAUCCAACAUGUUGUGGGGUGGACGCCAUUUUUAUUAGCGAGUUUAUUUUUGCUAAGUAGCGGUAGCGAAGUGAUCGGUAUUGGCAGAAUUUAGUCUUGAAAGAGAAAUUUGGUUAAGGUGUAUUGGACAGUGAUCAAUGUAUUUUCACUAAACUGAAGAAAUAUUGGACAGGAUAUGGAGAAACCUGAAAAAAAUCUACACAGGCAUCAAAGACAAUAUAGGGAAGACUGGAAGGGGUAGAAUUUACUAGGAAUAUUAUCAGGGAUUACAAAAUAGUUAAACUCCCUAACCUAAUACCUCUACAAAGGUUCCUGGCAUAGUGAAAAAAGCCCCUUGCCAAAAAUAAGAAAGACUCACCUGCUAUCUGAGCGACUUAACAGAUGGAAACCACUCCAAUCAGAGUAACAUAUGUAUCCCCUCCCCCCAAGUACCAAGGCUAGGAAGUCAAAGAGUUUAAUGUUUUAUCUACAAAGAAGGCUGACAAAUGUUGAGGAAGCUCGAGUACAAGAAAUUAACCUCUUAUGACACGUCAUUGGAAGAAGUAAGGAAAUCCAGGGGGAAAAAAAUAAAAUGUUGCACUUAUUAUGUGAAUUACAAAAAAAAGCAAUAAUUCAAAAACAUAUUUUUAUUUGUGAUAAGAGCAUAUUUUGGUUAGUUUUGGUUCCUGCUGAAUGUGAUAAAUUCUAAAAUAGACCUCUUUUGAUAA